This 803-nucleotide ribosomal RNA is filed under the name Mononchoides macrospiculum. Its description in RNAcentral is "SSU rRNA". It matches the Rfam family "Eukaryotic small subunit ribosomal RNA", at positions 173 to 999 of the family's 1831-position model. The record is from RNAcentral. Lineage: Eukaryota; Metazoa; Nematoda; Chromadorea; Rhabditida; Neodiplogasteridae.
GCACCUAAGCCCAAAUUGGGCGCACUUAUUAGAUCAAGACCAAUCGGGGCAACCCGUUUUGGUGACUCUGAAUAAUUUAGCUGAUCGCAUGGUCUUGUACCGGCGACGUAUCGUUCGAGUGUCUGCCUUAUCAACUUUCGAUGGAAGUCCACGUGACUACCAUGGUUGUAACGGGUAACGGAGAAUAAGGGUUCGACUCCGGAGAGGGAGCCUGAGAAACGGCUACCACAUCCAAGGAAGGCAGCAGGCGCGUAAAUUACCCACUCUCAAUGCGAGGAGGUAGUAACUAUCAAUAACGAGACAGUUCUCUAUGAGGCCUGUUAUCGGAAUGGGUACAAUUUAAACCCUUUAACGAGGAUCUAUGAGAGGGCAAGUCUGGUGCCAGCAGCCGCGGUAAUUCCAGCUCUCAAGGUGUAUAUCGUCAUUGCUGCGGUUAAAAAGCUCGUAGUUGGAUCUGAGUCUGUGGAGGCGGUGCACCAUGUGUGUAACUGUGGUCCCGGACUGUUUUGUUGGUUUUCUGCAGUUUGCCUUAACCGGUAGGCUGUAGUAGCUGACACGUUUACCUUGAAUAAAUCAGAGUGCUCAAGACAAGCGUUUCGCUUGAAUAUUCGUGCAUGGAAUAAUGGAACAGGACUUCGGUUCGUUCUAUUGGUCUUAGAACCGAUGUAAUGGUUAAGAGGGACAGACGGGGGCAUCCGUAUCGCUGCGUGAGAGGUGAAAUUCUUGGACCGCAGCGGGACGUCCAACUGCGAAAGCAUUUGCCAAGAAUGUCUUCAUUAAUCAAGAACGAAAGUCAGAGGAUC